This 278-nucleotide unclassified non-coding RNA is filed under the name Miriquidica sp. RNAcentral describes it as "partial contains small subunit ribosomal RNA, internal transcribed spacer 1, and 5.8S ribosomal RNA". The stretch from base 1 to 46 matches the Rfam family "Eukaryotic small subunit ribosomal RNA", at positions 1786 to 1831 of the family's 1831-position model. The record is from RNAcentral. Lineage: Eukaryota; Fungi; Ascomycota; Lecanoromycetes; Lecanorales; Lecanoraceae.
AAGUCGUAACAAGGUUUCCGUAGGUGAACCUGCGGAAGGAUCAUUACCGAGAGAAGGGCCUCGUGCCUUGGGGGCUCCGGCCCCCGACUCUUCACCCUGUGCAUAAUCUACCUUUGUUGCUUUGGCGGGUCUUGGGGUCACUCCCACGCCGGCCCCGGGCUUCGCCGCCCGGGCAAGGUGCGCACCCGUCGAAGGCCCAUUAUAUCCUAUUAUAUCAGUGACGUCGGAGCAAAAAACACAAUAGUUUAAAACUUUCAACAACGGAUCUCUUGGUUCUG